AUAAUCAGUAUAUUAUAAGCAGCACCUACCUAUCGUCACUUACACGUAGUCGAAUGCUCUACUUUGUAUCGUGUUCAUGACGCAACUUAUUAAAUUGCUAUGGCGGAGAAUUAGUGUGUGAUUAAAUCUAUUUAUUAUUUUGCUCCGUCAUUGCGUUAGUAUAAAGUUUAAUUCGGUCUUUAAAAAAAAAAUCAUGGAUAGUAAUAAAGAUGAGGCGGAGCGAUGUAUGGAACUUGCAGAACUAUAUCUACGAGAAAAAAAGUACGAGGAAGCAGAAAAAUUUGUACGUAAAGCAUUAAAACUAUAUCCAAUGAAAAAAGCAGAAGAUGUGUUAGCAAAAGUGACAAUGUUAUCAAAGCAAAAUCAAAAGUCUGAAUCUGAACCUACACUUAGGAAACGUCAAACUGCAUCUAAAGAAACCACACAUACUCAAGCUUCUAGUGAUUAUACAAAGGAACAACUUGAACACAUUAAAAGAAUCAAAAAAUGUAAAGAUUAUUAUGAAAUUUUGGGUGUAAAUAAAGAUGCAACUGAUAGUGAUAUUAAGAAGGCAUAUAAAAAAUUAGCACUUCAGUUACAUCCAGAUAAAAAUAAAGCACCAGGUGCUGCUGAAGCCUUUAAAGCUAUUGGAAAUGCUGUUGCUAUAUUGACUGAUGUCGAAAAGAGAAAGCAGUAUGAUAUGUAUGGUCCUGAGGAAGAAAGACUUCAAAGUGCUCAAGCUCAUCAAAAUCACUCACAUUAUAAUUAUACAAGAGGAUUUGAAACUGAUAUAACAGCAGAAGAAUUAUUUAGUAUGUUCUUUGGAGGUGGAUUUCCACAACAAGAAUUUUAUAUGAGACGUUCUGGUAGAUGGGCAAGACAACAAGAUGCACAAGCUCAACAUGCUCACUCUCAACAAGCAAAUGGAUAUACCACAUUCCUUCAAAUGUUACCUGUGCUAUUAUUAAUAUUGUUAACUAUGAUGAGCAGUUUCUUUAUAUCAGAUCCUGUAUAUAGCUUGCAUUCUAACGCAGUGAUUGAUUUGUAUGAAAGGGAUUAUAUGCACAUUUUAAAUUUGUGCGCAGAAAAUAUUCUGUACUGAGAACAACUCAAGGAUUAAAGGUGCCCUACUAUGUCAAAGAAAACUUUCAUACUGAAUAUCAAGGCAGCUUACGUAGACUAGAAAUUUCUGUUGAAGAAGAAUACCUGAAUAAUUUGAGACAUGCCUGUUUUAGAGAGAAAAGUUAUAGAGAAACAAUGAUGUGGAAAGCAAGAAACUUUGGAGAUCAAGAAUUAUUUUUCAAAGCUAAAAAUAUUGAAACACCUUCAUGUAAGAAGGUACAAGAAUUACAAGGAGCAUAGCGACGUUAUGUUAUUGAAUAGAAUUUUGUUGUAGAUAGGUGUAUAUUAUAUUUACACAUGUGUAGUUACUAUUGGAUGAAAUGAAGAAUAUCAAACAUUAUAAUACAUAUGCGAAUAUAUUAUAUAUCUUCGCAUCAAAAUUGAUAAAUGAUAUUCUUCUUGAUCCAUGAAUUUUUACAUAGGCCGUUUAAGCUGUUUGUUCCAUAUAUUCAAAUUGUAAAUUAAUAUAGGAUUCAUUAUAGUAGCGAGUAUGAUGAAUUCCAAUGGUAUAUGAAUCUAUCAUAUGAUAUAAUUAAGGUAACAUAUUUCAAAUUCAUUAGAUUGAAUCAUAUAAUUUUAAAAUAUAAAAAUCAUAUGUUGA
This 1702-nucleotide unclassified non-coding RNA is filed under the name Apis florea (little honeybee). RNAcentral describes it as "dnaJ homolog subfamily B member 12, transcript variant X2". Lineage: Eukaryota; Metazoa; Arthropoda; Insecta; Hymenoptera; Apidae. The record is from RNAcentral.